GGACCAGCACAUUGGGAAGCUCUAUAGAUCUGCAAUCUCUUCAUUCAUCUUCUUCUUGAUGGUGGAUGUAGGAGUUACUGGUGGAGGUGCAAACAAGGAGAAUGCAGCAGCUGUGAUUCAUGUAACAGCACAGCCUGUGUGGUUGACACCUGAGCCUUGGAACCUUUUGGUGACUCAAACACCAGCCAAGGAGAAAGCCAAAGAGGGUGAAACUGUGGCCUUGAACUGUCAUCUUAACAGUCCACAGCAUCCCUCCCUGACCAACCUGAUGGUGAAAUGGUACAAAGAAGAUGAAAAGGGGCAGAUGGACCUGCUAGAAAAGAAUGUGACCAUCCUGCCAAAUAAUUCCAGGAUCUUCAUGAGUGGAGACUUGUCCCAAGGGGAUGUUUCCCUGACUAUCCUCAAUGUGACAACCAGUGACCAUGGCAUUUAUUUCUGUGAGGUUACACUUCCGGACGGGAAGGUGGUGACCGGAGAUGGCACAAAGCUCAGGAUCAGGAGGGCUCUGGGCUUGUUUGGUAUAGAAGAAUCCAUUGGAACAAUCAUUGGGGUUGUGGCAGCUGGUAUUGGAGGCAUUGUGGUUCUGAUCGUUGUUCUAACCCCACAGCUGAGGAAGUGCGUCCUCUGCAUGAGACAGGAGUCUCACCAAAGAGCUUGAGGGUACAGCAUUACAGGAGUCGCUGGGAUAUGCGAAGCCUGCAGAUGGAACAACUUCUGAUACCCCAUAAACAAAAAAAAAUGGAGUUCUAGAUGGAAUAAAAGCCUUUGCCUCUA
This is a non-coding RNA of Melospiza melodia melodia, 774 nucleotides long. The record is from the annotation of a RefSeq genome assembly. Lineage: Eukaryota; Metazoa; Chordata; Aves; Passeriformes; Passerellidae.